Molecule: long non-coding RNA, 94 nt
Organism: Thalassophryne amazonica
Lineage: Eukaryota; Metazoa; Chordata; Actinopteri; Batrachoidiformes; Batrachoididae
Exons: 3
Source: RefSeq, a predicted model, not a curated record
GUAGGACAAGUAGAUUCACAAAUUCAUGGGUAGGACAUGUUUUUCUGAUUAAAAAUAUCACAACAGCACAUAUCAAUAUUUAUAAUCUGUAAAU